CCUACGGGCGGCUGCAGUGGGGAAUAUUGGACAAUGGGGGGAACCCUGAUCCAGCCAUGCCGCGUGUGUGAAGAAGGUCCUCGGGUUGUAAAGCACUUUCAGUGAGGAAGAACGCCUGGUGGUUAAUACCCAUCAGGAAAGACAUCACUCACAGAAGAAGCACCGGCUAACUCCGUGCCAGCAGCCGCGGUAAUACGGAUGGUGCGAGCGUUAAUCGGAAUUACUGGGCGUAAAGCGCGCGUAGGUGGCUUGAUAAGCCGGUUGUGAAAGCCCCGGGCUCAACCUGGGAACGGCAUCCGGAACUGUCAAGCUAGAGUGCAGGAGAGGAAGGUAGAAUUCCCGGUGUAGCGGUGAAAUGCGUAGAGAUCGGGAGGAAUACCAGUGGCGAAGGCGGCCUUCUGGACUGACACUGACACUGAGGUGCGAAAGCGUGGGUAGCAAACAGGAUUAGAUACCCUAGUAGUC
RNAcentral lists this ribosomal RNA (465 nucleotides) under Vreelandella stevensii. Its description in RNAcentral is "partial 16S ribosomal RNA". It matches the Rfam family "Bacterial small subunit ribosomal RNA", at positions 338 to 795 of the family's 1533-position model. The record is from RNAcentral. Lineage: Bacteria; Pseudomonadati; Pseudomonadota; Gammaproteobacteria; Oceanospirillales; Halomonadaceae.